AUGAAACAGGUUAUGUCAUGUCUAGAAAAUAUGCAGCAGUGGCACCAUCUACUUUGAAACUCAACUUGAAAUCCACUCACUUGUCCAUAAAAGAAGUAAGUCCGACUAUUUUGUAAAUUGUAUUGUUUUAUUGUAAUUUUUAUUGAAUUUUGAAACCAAAUCAUGUAAAUUUUUAACAAAAAAACGUGUUAUUGAAAAAAAAAAAGAGAAGUUGGGCUUAUUUUCCUGUCAGAUUUUCCGCUAGAUGGCGAUGUCAGUGACAGUACUUUUCAAAUCAAUGGGCAAAAUUGAGUUAGUCAUACAGUUCGUCUGCUUCGGAAAUAGUUAACUCGCUUCAGGAGUGAGGUUGAUGUAAGCACGAAUGGGUGCUGUGCUGCUUAUGAUCUUCUGAUUCAUAAUUCUAAAGGACUUGCUUUUAUUUUCUAAUUUUUAACAAUGUUGGUAGUGAAACAAAACUUUGUGCUUUUAAGAGAAUCCAAGAUCCCUUCCCCAAAUGGAAAGAGACUUUGCUGUACACAAACAUGUCUACUAAACACAUUGUGUUCUCGUGUGAUUGAUUAAAGUUUAUUUUUAAAUCUUACUACACAUUUCCCAGAUGUAGAUUGAUAAUUAUAGAGAAUUGAAAGAGAUUGCACUCAUAGAAUUUUUCAAACUUUUUCCUUGCAAAAAUUCUUCAUUAGGCUUUUGUAGUUGUAUCAUAGUUGUCUAACUUAUGCAACCAAUUGAGGCACUGCCAAGGUUGACUGCACGUAGUUGUAUUUGUAGUCUAUGAAAAGAAAAUGAAUACAAGCAUUAUUAAACAACAAA
Long non-coding RNA from Daphnia magna, 807 nucleotides. RefSeq lists it as uncharacterized. NCBI's taxonomy places the organism in Eukaryota, Metazoa, Arthropoda, Branchiopoda, Diplostraca, Daphniidae. The record is from RefSeq and is a predicted model, not a curated record. The transcript is spliced from 2 exons.